Molecule: long non-coding RNA, 132 nt
Organism: Haliotis rubra (blacklip abalone)
Lineage: Eukaryota; Metazoa; Mollusca; Gastropoda; Lepetellida; Haliotidae
Exons: 2
Source: RefSeq, a predicted model, not a curated record
GUGAUCACUUCCUGGUCUCAGGUAAACAUCCGUCUGCGCACGCAUCACCGGAAGACGUGUGGUUUGCCAGCUCGACUGAUUUGUAUCCUAUGAAUUGUGUUUAUUGAUAAUAAACUGACUUUUGGAUGUUUU